This 486-nucleotide ribosomal RNA is filed under the name uncultured bacterium. RNAcentral's name for it is "bacterial SSU rRNA". It matches the Rfam family "Bacterial small subunit ribosomal RNA", at positions 27 to 507 of the family's 1533-position model. The record is from RNAcentral.
GAGUGAACGCUAGGCGGCGUGCCUAACACAUGCAAGUCGAGCGGAGUCGAUCGACGGAAGCCUUCGGGCGGAAGAUGGUUGACUUAGCGGCGGAUGGGUGAGUAACGCGUGGGGCAAACCUGCCUCGAAGACCGGGAUAACAGCCCGAAAGGGCUGCUAAUACCGGAUGUGGUCAAGGAUCCGCAUGGAUUUUGAUUAAAGGGGAAACCCGUUUCGAGAUGGGCCCGCGUCCUAUCAGCUAGUUGGUGAGGUAAAAGCUCACCAAGGCGACGACGGGUAGCCGGCCUGAGAGGGUGACCGGCCACACUGGAACUGAGACACGGUCCAGACUCCUACGGGGGGCAGCAGUGGGGAAUCUUCCACAAUGGGCGAAAGCCUGAUGGAGCGACGCCGCGUGAGCGAAGAAGGCCUUCGGGUUGUAAAGCUCUGUCUGGAGGGACGAAGGAAGUGACGGUACCUCCGGAGGAAGCCACGGCUAACUACGUG